ACGGAAGGCAGCAGUGGGGGAUAUUGCACAAUGGGGGAAACCCUGAUGCAGCGACGCCGCGUGAGUGAUGAAGUAUUUCGGUAUGUAAAGCUCUAUCAGCAGGGAAGAAAAUGACGGUACCUGACUAAGAAGCUCCGGCUAAAUACGUGCCAGCAGCCGCGGUAAUACGUAUGGGGCAAGCGUUAUCCGGAUUUACUGGGUGUAAAGGGAGCGCAGGCGGUAACGCAAGCCAGAGGUGAAAACCCGGGGCUCAACCCCGAGGAUUGCCUUUGGAACUGUGGAACUGGAGUGCUGGAGGGGCAGGCGGAAUUCCUGGUGUAGCGGUGAAAUGCGUAGAUAUCAGGAGGAACACCGGUGGCGAAGGCGGCCUGCUGGACAGUAACUGACGCUGAGGCUCGAAAGCGUGGGGAGCAAACAGGAUUAGAUACCCUGGUA
This 435-nucleotide ribosomal RNA is filed under the name uncultured Lachnospiraceae bacterium. RNAcentral describes it as "partial 16S ribosomal RNA". It matches the Rfam family "Bacterial small subunit ribosomal RNA", at positions 341 to 792 of the family's 1533-position model. Lineage: Bacteria; Bacillati; Bacillota; Clostridia; Lachnospirales; Lachnospiraceae. The record is from RNAcentral.